Falco peregrinus (peregrine falcon) is the source of this 4579-nucleotide long non-coding RNA. RefSeq lists it as uncharacterized. The transcript has 2 exons. The record is from RefSeq and is a predicted model, not a curated record. Lineage: Eukaryota; Metazoa; Chordata; Aves; Falconiformes; Falconidae.
CCUGCUGAUAAAUUUUUUAAAUUUAGCUUAAAUUUAAGUAGUGCGUUCCUUUAAAAAAUUAUUAGUUAAAUUAGAGAAUAAUUUAAAAUUUGGAUUUUGGAGUGUAAGAAAGUGUGCUACUUUCUUCAGAGCUGUUACUUUGAAGUACCACGUGGUGGCAGCAGUUUUGCAUUAAUGUAUUGCUGAUGCCAAUGUUUGUGUCAGAGCAAACCUUAGCUUCAACUUUGUGCAUAAGUCAUACUAUAUUACUAGUAAUGGUCUCCUUUUCUCCAAAACAAUUGUUUGGAAGUGUCGUGUUUUCCUCUGGCUCUCUCCUUUUUGUUUUCAAAGGUGGAUGGGUAAUGACUUUAAAGAAAACUGUCCACAGUGCAGCAGCUGCCAAUGUCCCGAUUUUCUGUAAUGCAGUUCUGUUUCACUUAUGCUCUUGUGUUCUUGUAUGGCCAUUGUCACUGUUCCCGUCAUGAUGUUUUGCUAUGGUCAGUCCUAGCUGUCUUCUUUUAUUGUGUCUCUGCUGAUAAAUAGUGGUGUUACCAUGUAUCACGGUCCACUCAGUGGACCCAUGAUGGUUCGUUAACCAUGAUCUCGAAGCACAAAAAAUCAAGGCAACCAUGCCAAGGGGUUAUGCUUCAAUCAAACAGCACAAUUUUAUUGUUUGCCCGUAAAGCGGAGUGCCAUAGAAAGACAAAAAGUGAAUAAAAGGAAAAGUAAAAAGAAAAGGAAAGAGGAUUGUAGCUACCACCACGGGUCCAAGGCGUCCUGUGGUCCCAGGUCCAGGCAGCGUCCCGCCGGUCCUUCCGAUUGUCGUGAUCCCUGGUGGGGAAGAUCUCCAGAGUUCAGUUGCUAAGAAGGCAUCUUUUUAUGCCAAGCAACACACCUUGCUCCUCCUCUGGUCCAUGGACUUCUGCCAGUCUCCGCCCUCUCGAGCCAGGUUAGCUUGCCCCAGAAGUGGGUAGCUUCAGACCAGGAGGCAUGUUCUCGUAUUGUUUUCUGGUUCGUUGUUAUGAGCACAGUUGUGAUCCAUCUUCUGGACAGCUGUUAUGCAGCCUUAUUCAAUCCCAGGUGGCAGGGAAUGGCAUAGUACUCCUCGUACCGUUCAGUUCUCCUUCCCAGGGUGUUCAGUCCCAGGUUGCAGGGAACGGCAUCGUACUCCUCGUACCGUGCAGUUCUCUUUCCCAGGGUCUUUGUGUCUUGGUGUCCAUGAGGACCACAUUCCAUCUCCAGGUCUCUGUUGGCAAUGUUGAGACAAUAUUGUUCUCUUUAGACCGACUCUUACACCAUGUUAGGAAUGUUUAGUAUGAUUAAUUCUUAUGUCUCUUGAGGAACAAUUGCAGUAAACCUUAAAAAGUAUUUUUGAGCAGCUUUGUGAAGGUGAGUUCAAAUGAACAAUCCUAGGUAUGAAUUUUAAAGAGUCUUGUUCUUUCUUGAACAUUUUGUGUAUCCUUAUCAAAAGGAAAUCAGAUUGUGGCUCGUGGGACUUCUUUUUAGAUGUAAGUAUAUAUACAUGUGUAUUUGUAUACAGUCAGUGAUUUAGUCCAUGUCAUAGAAAGAUUAUGCUUAUGAGCAACACGGGCAUGAAAAGUAUGUUGUUUAAAGAUCAAAUUCUUGUAAGUCUUGUGAAAAUACAAUCUGUUGGGUAUGGACUUAGCAGUAGGCAUUGUCAUUCUAUACCUUCAUUUUAAUUUUACUGUCCUGUUCCUUUUUUUUUGUUUAUUUACUGGUAGCUUCUCUCAGCACUUGUAAGAGUUUUGAGGUAUUUACAUCUGUUGGUUGGAGGAAUCUAGGUAAAUAGGAAGCCUGGGGAAGUAAUUGUUGAAAUAGUAUGCAGUGACAGAGUGGCUUUCCUCUGUGUUUCUCAAACUUCAGAAAGUUUAGCUUUUGAGGUAGUAAUCUAGAAAUACUGUGCUGUGUUACAUAAGCUUAGACAAUUACAAUUGAUCAGCCAUUAAAAUUAAAAUUACUUUGUAUGGUUGCUGCACAAUAAGCAGAAUAACUUGUUUCUAGCCCAGCGUUUUUCUUUUUUGCUUUACUUCCUUUAAUGGAAAUCAUUACUUUUAAAAGCAUUGUUAUAACCAGGGGAUUCACUGUGAUAGUAUUGAAGCUGCAUUUCAUGAGAAAAGAUGUUCAAGAGUUUCAGUGAACUCUGCUUCAGGCAUUUGAAACCUGUGCUAAUGAAGUACCAGGUUUCCCCUCCCUCCCACCCCUGUAUGACUUCCAUCCAAAGCAGUACAUUUAUUGAAGCUUAUCUAGAACAAAUGGGAAGGUGUUUGUGGAAACAUCUUAAUGGUUGAAACCUCCUUUUUACAACAUUUCCAGUUACUUGUUGUCAUAAAAGUGCAGCUUAAUCAUCCAAAGCCUAUCCAGAUAAUCUCUUAAAAGUUUAAGUUUAUAAAAUUGGAUAGUGUGUAUUCAGAUAGCCACUUUGGUUUUGCACUCUUACCUACUUGAUUUUCCAUCCAUCCCUUUUACACCUACUAGUAGGGUGAGUUAAGGGCAAAUAAAUGAACUUCAAAUCAAAAAAGCAAAGGCAUGUACUGUUCACUCAUCCUGUGAAUUGUGACAUUUGAAACACUAGCACAGUGUGUCUUCUUCAGAACACUUGAUUGUAUUAGCAUAUCCUUCUCCCAUUGUUUUGCAGAGUGAAUACUUGUUGAUUGCAACUGUAGUGUUAGAAUUGGUAUGCUUGGGGACGGAGAAACUGCUUCAGGUCAAAGAAGAACCAUUAAUUGGAGUGAUGAAACAGCAAGAGAAGGGACAAGUCUUCUAAAUAGUAUGCUGGCCCAUCACCUAUAUUAGCUGUGUGGUUUCUGUGGGCACAGUGGAAGGACUUGGGAGUUCUUGGGAGUCAAGAGUUUGGUUUUCCCUGGGCUGUAAGCUCCUGGCCAGUAUCACCUGUGUAUGCAUAGCAUAGAGGGCUGUUUGCUGCUGGUUGAAUUAUUUGUGAAUGUACUUUCUUCAUGUAUGUUUGUGGUGGUAAAGAAGGUGGAAGAGGCUGCAGAAGAGUUUCCACACUGUCUGUGUGCUGAGUAGGUCAUAGCUGCAUUGGUUAAUUGUUGCUUGGUGAGUCUUGGCUCAUUUUUAAGCCUUCUGUACCCACCCCCUUUUUUUUCCCCAGACUUCCCUUCUCUUUCCUUGACUCUUUGGUGCAGACCCAGGCAAGGGUGCUUCGAUCUCAUGCUUGUUUUGUGUGGGCUCUCAGAUUUCUAAUAGUUGAACUUUUUUUUUCCUUUGGCCUGGUCUUACUGUUCUUUUGGUUUAGUUGUGUGUAGAAAGUGGUUUGCUUCUUGUAAGCUUAGUGCAGUGUCUGAAGAGGGUAUUUUUCUGUCUAGGCUGUCUUACCUAGAUGCUUAACUGUUGUCAUACACCAAGUAGUCUGUUUUUCUGUUUGGCAGUUUAGUGUUGUGAUACACAUCAAAGGCAGCGUAUUCUUGGAGGAUAUGAACUUGGAGGACAGUACCAAGAUGAUGGUUCCACUGCCUUUGUGUGUUUUCCUUACAGUAUCUGAAACGGUGAUGAUUUAUCAGGAAAAACAAAAGUUCUAGUAUCUUUGUUGUGCUUAUUUCCUAGAUGAUGAAUUUCACAGAAUAGCAUAUCUUAGGCUGUAGCAAAAAACUUGUGGAGUUGCAUGAUUUAAAAUGUCAGUGAAAAAUGGAUGCUUGGAAGCAUACUUUUGUGUGGGUGUUUCCUCUCACUUGUAUGUGUGCCUCUCCAGAUCCAUUCUUAAAAUUUGCUGUGGUUUCUGAGCUAGCACAGCAGAUGUAUGACACACAUGUUUAAUUAAAGAAGCAAUUUAUCCUGUUCCUUUCCUGCUUCUAAAGUUUUGUUUACUGCAAUUACAAGUUUUGCCUACUUCCAGAUACUGCUUUGGGACCACACUCGCAAGGAGACAUGCCAGUGAAAACAUUUAGCCAGUGGCUUUUCCUGGCUAUGUAUCUAACAGAACCAAAUUUUCAGGAUGUGUUCUCCUCUUAAAGCUCCUAGUUUAAGAUCUCGUUCCUAUUUGGUGCUCAGCCAGUAAGUUAAUGGCCCCAUUCAGUUCAUUACAAUUUAUUUUGAGUUAGCAUUUGGUUAGUUUUAUGUGGCUACUUAGCUUUGUUACGUUCUUUCCUGUCUUGGUGCUGUAGGAUCAUUGCUUCUGUACUACCUGUAAGAGCUGCUGUCAUAUAGCAGUUCUGUGCUUACAUGUUGAAUUGUUCAAGAACUUAAGAAAAUAUCUUGCAGAAAUUGGGUGUGUAUAUAUACGUAUGUAAAGCAAAAAAUCAGUCAUCAAUUGUGCAUUCUUUUAUAUCCCUCCCUUUUAAGAUAUUUGCUGUUUGUGGUGUUUUGUUCUCUCUUGUCUUGGGCCACUGCUGUUAUCCUCUGGUUACAUGUGUAAUGCAGUGUAUUAGAAGCUGAUGUUUGGCUGUUAUGUUGAUCUGGGUCUCUGUUUUAAGGACCCUGUUUUAGAGAAGCUCUGGCUUGUAAGCAGGGCAAAACCAGCAGAUAAAAACUAUUGUCAGGAAGGCUGUAAUAUUUUCGUAAGUUUUCUGUGUGGUCAUUUUCUUUCCUUUAUUGUUUUUAUUUCAUCUUUAGCUGAUCAAAC